UACGGAGGGUCCAAGCGUUAUCCGGAAUCAUUGGGUUUAAAGGGUCCGUAGGCGGUUUUGUAAGUCAGUGGUGAAAGCCCAUCGCUCAACGGUGGAACGGCCAUUGAUACUGCAAGACUUAAAUUAUUAGGAAGUAACUAGAAUAUGUAGUGUAGCGGUGAAAUGCUUAGAGAUUACAUGGAAUACCAAUUGCGAAGGCAGGUUACUACUAAUGGAUUGACGCUGAUGGACGAAAGCGUGGGGAGCGAACAGG
RNAcentral lists this ribosomal RNA (253 nucleotides) under uncultured bacterium. Its description in RNAcentral is "partial 16S ribosomal RNA". It matches the Rfam family "Bacterial small subunit ribosomal RNA", at positions 524 to 776 of the family's 1533-position model. The record is from RNAcentral.